CAUGUGUGUAACCAAGUCACUCACCAGCUAUAAUGAUUAUAACUUGAGUGAUGGUCGGAAUGAAAUUCGCCACUUUGAAGCCAAACUCGGAAAGAAGCAGAAACAGAAUUGGAUGAGCUGAUAUAGAAUUAGACAGGAAAAACGUAUUAUCAUUAUGAGAAUACAUUAUUACAGUACAGACCAUUGAUGCUGGAAGUGAGUGGAUAGUGUAACCGGAGACUCAGGGAUCC
Molecule: long non-coding RNA, 230 nt
Organism: Saccostrea cuccullata (small rock oyster)
Lineage: Eukaryota; Metazoa; Mollusca; Bivalvia; Ostreida; Ostreidae
Exons: 3
Source: RefSeq, a predicted model, not a curated record